CUGUGCCUACGGGGGGCAGCAGUGGGGGAUAUUGGACAAUGGGGGGAACCCUGAUCCAGCGACGCCGCGUGAGUGAAGAAGUAUUUCGGUAUGUAAAGCUCUGUCAGCGGGGAAGAAAGCAAUGACGGUACCUGACCAAGAAGCCCCGGCUAAAUACGUGCCAGCAGCCGCGGUAAUACGUAGGGGGCAAGCGUUAUCCGGAUUUACUGGGUGUAAAGGGAGCGUAGGUGGCAGGGCAAGUCAGAUGUGAAAACCCGGGGCUCAACUCCGGGAGUGCAUUUGAAACUGUCCAGCUAGAGUGCAGG
Molecule: ribosomal RNA, 305 nt
Filed under: uncultured bacterium
Lineage: Bacteria
Description: bacterial SSU rRNA
Rfam family: Bacterial small subunit ribosomal RNA
Source: RNAcentral